This 492-nucleotide ribosomal RNA is filed under the name uncultured bacterium. RNAcentral describes it as "partial 16S ribosomal RNA". It matches the Rfam family "Bacterial small subunit ribosomal RNA", at positions 29 to 507 of the family's 1533-position model. The record is from RNAcentral.
AGUGAACGCUGGCGGUAGGCCUAACACAUGCAAGUCGAACGGCAGCACAGUAAGAGCUUGCUCUUACGGGUGGCGAGUGGCGGACGGGUGAGGAAUACAUCGGAAUCUACUUUUUCGUGGGGGAUAACGUAGGGAAACUUACGCUAAUACCGCAUACGACCUACGGGUGAAAGCAGGGGAUCUUCGGACCUUGCGCGAUUGAAUGAGCCGAUGUCGGAUUAGCUAGUUGGCGGGGUAAAGGCCCACCAAGGCGACGAUCCGUAGCUGGUCUGAGAGGAUGAUCAGCCACACUGGAACUGAGACACGGCCCAGACUCCUACGGGAGGCAGCAGUGGGGAAUAUUGGACAAUGGGCGCAAGCCUGAUCCAGCCAUACCGCGUGGGUGAAGAAGGCCUUCGGGUUGUAAAGCCCUUUUGUUGGGAAAGAAAAGCAGCAGGUUAAUACCCCGCUGUUCUGACGGUACCCAAAGAAUAAGUACCGGCUAACUUCGUG